Molecule: ribosomal RNA, 324 nt
Filed under: uncultured bacterium
Lineage: Bacteria
Description: bacterial SSU rRNA
Rfam family: Bacterial small subunit ribosomal RNA
Source: RNAcentral
GACGAACGCUGGCGGCGUGCCUAACACAUGCAAGUCGAGCGGAGCCAUCCAAACAAUCCCUUCGGGGUGCGUUUGGUGAAGCUUAGCGGCGGACGGGUGAGUAACGCGUGAGUAACCUGCCCAUAAGAGGGGGAUAACACAGAGAAAUUUGUGCUAAUACCGCAUAUUGAAUAUUGAAGGCAUCUUCAAUAUUUGAAAGAUUUAUCGCUUAUGGAUGGACUCGCGUCCGAUUAGCUAGUUGGUGAGGUAACAGCUCACCAAGGCGACGAUCGGUAGCCGAACUGAGAGGUUGAUCGGCCACAUUGGGACUGAGACACGGCCCAG